This 118-nucleotide ribosomal RNA is filed under the name uncultured bacterium. Its description in RNAcentral is "partial 16S ribosomal RNA". The record is from RNAcentral.
GUAGCAGCCGCGGUAAUACGGGAGCCAGCAGCCGCGGUAAUACGGGAGCCAGCAGCCGCGGUAAUACGGGAGCCAGCAGCCGCGGUAAUACGGGAGCCAGCAGCCGCGGUAAUACGGA